Molecule: ribosomal RNA, 253 nt
Filed under: uncultured bacterium
Lineage: Bacteria
Description: partial 16S ribosomal RNA
Rfam family: Bacterial small subunit ribosomal RNA
Source: RNAcentral
UACGGAGGGUGCAAGCGUUGUCCGGAAUUAUUGGGCGUAAAGAGCUCGUAGGCGGCCACUCAAGUCGAAUGUGAAACCUCGAGGCUUAACCUCGAGCCUGCAUUCGAUACUGGGCGGCUAGAGUCUGGUAGGGGGAUCUGGAAUUCCUGGUGUAGCGGUGGAAUGCGCAGAUAUCAGGAGGAACACCGGUGGCGAAGGCGGGAUCCUGGGCCAGUACUGACGCUGAGGAGCGAAAGCGUGGGGAGCAAACAGG